Molecule: non-coding RNA, 71 nt
Organism: Triticum urartu
Lineage: Eukaryota; Viridiplantae; Streptophyta; Magnoliopsida; Poales; Poaceae
Source: Rfam
ACAGCUAUAGGUUAAUGGUAGACUACUCGGUUUCCACCCGAUUUGCACUGGUUCAAGUCCAGUUGGCUGUA